AAAAAAAUGAAAUAACACGAGAAUGGCCCUGAAGGAGUUGAUGGCCUGGGAGGGAGGUGGUACACCCAAGUAAAUGUGAGAUGACAGCUGCGUAUAAGCUCCAUGGACGUGAGAAAAGGGGGAGCAGUGGAGGUGGGCUUUAGAGCUAUGCCACCUUGAGAAACGCAUUUCUGGCCAAGAGGAAAGAUCACAAAGGCCUGGGAGAAGGAAUCGUCUUAGAAGAAACCCUCCAGCUCCUACCUGUUACCUUGUGCAGAUAGAAAGGUCCUCAGGAGUCCAUCAGGGGGACAGAUGAAGACUGCUCGGCAGGAAGCUGGUGGAAACUUCUAAGAUCCACUCCAGUCGGGCUUCUACAUCACUCCACGGAAACUGCUCCUCAGGGUAACAGUGGUCCCCAUGUG
This 401-nucleotide long non-coding RNA is filed under the name Homo sapiens (human). Its description in RNAcentral is "HSALNT0253083". The record is from RNAcentral. Lineage: Eukaryota; Metazoa; Chordata; Mammalia; Primates; Hominidae.